Molecule: long non-coding RNA, 561 nt
Organism: Uloborus diversus
Lineage: Eukaryota; Metazoa; Arthropoda; Arachnida; Araneae; Uloboridae
Exons: 3
Source: RefSeq, a predicted model, not a curated record
AUGAGGAUAAAAGUAAAAUUACUAAAUCAGCAGAAGAUCAGGAUAACGGUGAAAGUUCAAAGGGCAAAAACAAGAGAGGACAAGAUGGUAGUGAAGAUGAUUUUAAACCAACUAAACCAGCAAAAGUUCCUAAAAAAGCUACUAAAUCUUCAGAACCUAAAAACAUAGCCAAAACUCCUGGAAUUGAAAAGUUAGAUUUUAGCAAUAAAUCAACUAACUCUAGUGGUAAGCCUUGGAACUUUAAAAUCUCUUCCUGGAAUAUCAAUGGUGUUCGAGCUUGGCUUGAGAAGGACGGCCUUUCAUACAUUAAUCAUGAAAAGCCAGACAUUAUUGCUUUGCAAGAGACGAAAUGUUCUGAUGAUAAACUACCUGAAGAAGUUACAAAAAUUGAUGGCUAUCAUUGUUAUUGGGUUGCUGGAGACAAAGAUGGAUAUUCAGGAGUUGGUCUUUUAUCAAAGCAAGAACCAAUUGAAGUGAAGUAUGGAAUCGGUAUUGAUCAACAUGACAAUGAAGGCCGAGUCAUUACUACUGAAUAUGAAAAUUUUUUUGUUGUUGCUGCCU